Oncorhynchus tshawytscha (Chinook salmon) is the source of this 788-nucleotide long non-coding RNA. The record is from Ensembl. NCBI's taxonomy places the organism in Eukaryota, Metazoa, Chordata, Actinopteri, Salmoniformes, Salmonidae.
CUGAAUGUUCCACAGUUCUCUACUCUUCCUGCAAAACUACCAGUCAGGCCGGUGGUAGCUCGUCCCCUGCAGGACAGUGAGGUGCCGGAGGACCCUCCCCCCUCUGGACAUCGAGGGGUCCCCGGCGUAUACGAUACGGGCCAUUCUGGAUUCAAGACGCCGGGUGAGGGUCCUGCAGUACCUCGUGGACUGGGAGGGGUACGGUCCGGAGGAGAGGUGCUGGGUACCGGUGGGGGACAUCUUGGAUCCAUCAAUGUUGAGGGAUUUCCAUCGCCUCCAUCCAGAUCGCUCUGCACCUCGUCAUCCGGGUCGACCUCGAGGCCGGUGGGGGGGGGGGGUCCGACCGAGGGUGGCGAGUCCGUCCGAGGGUGGCUCCCCUUCCCAUUCGGGUGGCGCUCGGCGGUCGUCGUCACCGGCCUAUUAGCUGCCACUGAUUUUCAUUCCUCCCCCUCCUUGUAUGUUUGUUGUUAGCACCUGUUAGUUAGUAAUUAGUUGGGCUUUAUUAGACAGCCGGGCCCGCCUGUUUCUUUGUGCGGGAUUCAUUAUUGUAACCUUCGUGUAUGAAGUAGACGAACGCGUUUGUUCCUGGUCGUGUAUUCUGCUGUACUGUUUUCGUCCCCCGUGUUUGGGGCAUUUGUUUUUGAGCACCCAGUGUUUCGUGAGUGCAUUAAAGAGCACAGUAUUGAACUCUCUGUUUCCUGCGUCUGACUCCACACCCACGACACCCGGAGCGUUACACUAACUUUAUUUGCAUUAUUAUGAAAUUACCAGACUGAUUUAUAUGUUUG